UCCCAGAAGCUGUACUUCCUCCGGCCAGAUAGUCAUGAAAACCAAGCCUUGGAGAGUGGGCGCGAGUGAUAAAGAACAUCUCAUGCCCACCGCCUGAGCCCACGCUGGGGCAACCCAUGGACUGUGCCUGAGGUCCUAGAUAACUAUGAAAACCAGGCCACAGAGUGCGCGUGUGAGUGGUAAAGAAGCACAUGAAGUAAUGUGUGGAACGCUCUAGUUGUAAUUGGCUGAAUUUAGCUUAAAAACUCAGGUCUGGCACGGCAAAAUCGCUCAUCUCCCGAGGGCCCAAUGGAGACAGCAUCGUGCCGAGAAAUAACAUCGUGCCGAGAAAUAAUCUGCGUGGACCCCACAUGGAUGCUCAUGUGGACACCCAUUGCCAGGGCUCAGCUCCAGUUGAUCCAAAGCAAGGAACAUCGAGUCCUGUUUACCUGCGCUGCCAGAAGCCAGGCUAUGCCUGCCAGACCAGAAAGAGCCCGAGCUUGAAACAGAGUUUGUCAGCAUGCUGGCAUCGUCCCAGGGUGCUGCCCAUGCCUUCUGCCAACGCUGGCUCGACGCAAUCUGGAAAGUCUGGUACUGGAGAGGAGCUGGUAGAAGACAAUGAAAGCAGAAAGGCUAGCCAACUGUAAGGACUGGCAACUGCCACACUCACCACGACACCAUUGAGCACUGUGCCUGGCACACAGUUGGAGCUUCAAAGAUGCUCACUGAGUGAAUGGACGAAACCUUCCAUUAUACUGCAGCUAGAAGUUACGAUUGUAAAGUAUGGACCGGAUCCCUCUCAGCUGGAAACCCUGGCAACUUCUCUGAAAUCGCUGCCUUAAUUUCCCUUUCAGAAAUCAACACCCAUGAAAUGAUGCUUUGGAUCUGAAGUCCAUGCUACCUCAUGAUGAGGAGUGUACACACUCGAUUCCCUAACUAAUGAUGUUGCUUUUGAAAGAUAUAAAAACUUUGGGAUGUGAGGCCAGGUUGAUGAUGUUAUUAGCCACUACAAGCGGAACUUUGGGGAUCCUGAUGUUUAAUCAAUUGACAAGAUCUAGAAUUACCCAGGAGACAAAGCUCUGGGAAUGUCUGUGGAGGGUACUGCCAGAGAAUUUUUAACUAAGAAGCGAAGAUUUAUCAUGAAUGUAGGUGGUAUGAUUCUCUGGGCUGGAAUCCAGGUCUACAAUAAAAAGGUGAAAGCUAGCUGAGUACCAGCAUUCAUUGCUUUCUGCUUCUAAUGGAGGACAUAAGCUCCCAGCUACCUCAAACCUCUAACCAUCAUGUCAGAUCGUAUCCUGGAACUGUGAGUCAAAAUAAACCGUUGUUUCCUUUCUAAA
Long non-coding RNA from Mus musculus (house mouse), 1316 nucleotides. RefSeq annotates it as predicted gene, 39187. The transcript is spliced from 2 exons. NCBI's taxonomy places the organism in Eukaryota, Metazoa, Chordata, Mammalia, Rodentia, Muridae. The record is from RefSeq and is a predicted model, not a curated record.